UCCUACGGGGGGCAGCAGUUGGGAAUCUUGCGCAAUGGGGGAAACCCUGACGCAGCGACGCCGCGUGGAGGAUGACGCCUUUCGGGGUGUAAACUCCUUUUCUUGGGGACGACUCUCGACGGUACCCAAGGAAUAAGCCCCGGCUAACUCCGUGCCAGCAGCCGCGGUAAGACGGAGGGGGCGAGCGUUGUCCGGAAUUACUGGGCGUAAAGGGCGCGUAGGCGGUGGCGUACGGCGGUGGUGAAAGCUCUCGGCUCAACCGAGAGAGGCCCAUCGCGACGGCGCGACUGGAGGCGGAUAGAGGCAGACGGAAUUCCUGGUGUAGCGGUGAAAUGCGUAGAGAUCAGGAGGAACACCCGUGGCGAAGGCGGUCUGCUGGGUCUGGCCUGACGCUGAGGCGCGAAGGCGAGGGGAGCGAACGGGAUUAGAAACCCCUGUGUCCU
Molecule: ribosomal RNA, 443 nt
Filed under: uncultured bacterium
Lineage: Bacteria
Description: bacterial SSU rRNA
Rfam family: Bacterial small subunit ribosomal RNA
Source: RNAcentral